GAGGGUAUGGCUCAGUGGUAGAGCGCUUGCUUAGCAUUCAUCAAGGUCCUGGGUUCAAUCCCCAGUACCUACA
RNAcentral lists this transfer RNA (73 nucleotides) under Camelus bactrianus (Bactrian camel). It matches the Rfam family "tRNA". Rfam says of the family: Transfer RNA (tRNA) molecules are approximately 80 nucleotides in length. Their secondary structure includes four short double-helical elements and three loops (D, anti-codon, and T loops). RNAcentral also lists the same sequence under 2 other names. The record is from Rfam by way of RNAcentral. Lineage: Eukaryota; Metazoa; Chordata; Mammalia; Artiodactyla; Camelidae.